GGGUGAUUAGCUCAGCUGGGAGAGCACCUCCCUUACAAGGAAUUGGUCGCAGGUUCGAAUCCUGCACGACCCACCA
RNAcentral lists this transfer RNA (76 nucleotides) under Salmonella enterica subsp. enterica serovar Typhi. RNAcentral's name for it is "tRNA-Val(tac)". It matches the Rfam family "tRNA". From Rfam's summary of the family: Transfer RNA (tRNA) molecules are approximately 80 nucleotides in length. Their secondary structure includes four short double-helical elements and three loops (D, anti-codon, and T loops). The record is from RNAcentral. Lineage: Bacteria; Pseudomonadati; Pseudomonadota; Gammaproteobacteria; Enterobacterales; Enterobacteriaceae.